UAAGGAAUAUUGGUCAAUGGAGGCGACUCUGAACCAGCCAUGCCGCGUGCAGGAAGAAGGCCCUAUGGGUCGUAAACUGCUUUUGAACAAGAGAAAACCCCGGUACGUGUACUGGGUUGAUAGUAUUGUUAGAAUAAGCAUCGGCUAACUUCGUGCCAGCAGCCGCGGUAAGACGAAGGAUGCAAGCGUUAUCCGGAUUCAUUGGGUUUAAAGGGUGCGUAGGCGGACUGAUAAGUCAGUGGUGAAAUCUCUCGGCUUAACCGAGAAACUGCCAUUGAUACUGUUAGUCUAGAGUACAGAUGAUGUGGGCGGAAUAUGACAUGUAAGUGGUGAAAUACUUAGAUAUGUCAUAGAACACCGAUUGCGAAGGCAGCUCACAAAACUGUAAACUGACGCUGAGGCACGAAAGUGCGGGGAUCAAACAGGAUUAGAUACUCAUGUAGUCCCUGAGCGGGCUGGCAAGGCGCAU
This 469-nucleotide ribosomal RNA is filed under the name uncultured bacterium. RNAcentral's name for it is "bacterial SSU rRNA". It matches the Rfam family "Bacterial small subunit ribosomal RNA", at positions 355 to 825 of the family's 1533-position model. The record is from RNAcentral.